AAUACAUCUCAAUUCAAUCUUAAUUUAAUUCUAGUUAAAAUCCUAUUGAACUUCAUUCAAACUUUAGGCCCAAAACUAAUUAAAUCUUAAACUCUAAUAAAACCCUAAAUCCUAAAUCAAACCCUAAUCAAAUCCUACACCUUAAAUCAAAUUUUAAUCAAAUCCUAACUGAAUCCUAACCAAAUCCUAAUUCAAAUCCUAAAUCCUAAAAAAAACCCUAACCAAAUCCUAAACCAAAUCCUAAAUCAAACCCUAAAUCCUACCCUAAAUCCUAAAUCAAACCCUAACCAUAAACCAAUUU
Molecule: long non-coding RNA, 301 nt
Filed under: Physcomitrium patens
Lineage: Eukaryota; Viridiplantae; Streptophyta; Bryopsida; Funariales; Funariaceae
Description: long non-coding RNA (PPAT_LNC000968)
Source: RNAcentral